This 896-nucleotide ribosomal RNA is filed under the name uncultured delta proteobacterium. RNAcentral's name for it is "bacterial SSU rRNA". It matches the Rfam family "Bacterial small subunit ribosomal RNA", at positions 28 to 896 of the family's 1533-position model. The record is from RNAcentral. Lineage: Bacteria; Deltaproteobacteria.
AACGAACGCUGGCGGUGUGCCUCAUACAUGCAAGUCGUACGCGAAUCCUGCCGCAAGGCAGGGUUUGAGUGGCAAACGGGUGCGUAACACGUAGGUAAUCUUCCUUUGAGUUGGGGAUAAGCCCUCGAAAGGGGGUCUAAUACCGAAUAACACUUCUGGUUGGCAUCAACCGGAAAUUAAAGAUGGCCUCUGCUUGCAAGCUAUCGCUCGGAGAUGAGCCUGCGGCCGAUUAGUUAGUUGGCGGGAUAAAAGCCCACCAAGACUUCGAUCGGUAGCCGGUCUGAGAGGAUGUCCGGCCACACUGGGACUGAGAUACGGCCCAGACUCCUACGGGAGGCAGCAGUAGGGAAUAUUGCGCAAUGGCCGCAAGGCUGACGCAGCAACACCGCGUGGGGGAUGAAGGUUUUCGGAUCGUAAACCCCUGUCGAGAGGGAAGAAAGGUCGAAACGCGAAUACCGUUUUGGCUUGACGGUACCUUUAGAGGAAGUUCCGGCUAACUUCGUGCCAGCAGCCGCGGUAAUACGGGGGGAACGAGCGUUGUUCGGAAUUACUGGGUUUAAAGCGCGUGUAGGCGGGGAGGCAAGUCCGUUCGUGAAAUCCCCCGGCUCAACCGGGGAACUGCGUCGGAAACUGUCUUUCUAGAGUGCGGAAGAGGAAAGUGGAAUUCCAGGUGUAGCGGUGAAAUGCGUAGAUAUCUGGAAGAACGCCGGUGGCGAAGGCGGCUUUCUGGUCCGCAACUGACGCUGAGACGCGAAGGCUAGGGGAGCAAACAGGAUUAGAUACCCUGGUAGUCCUAGCGGUAAACGUUGUGCACUAGGUGUUGGGUUCCGACGAGGGGCUCAGUGCCGCAGCGAAAGCAUUAAGUGCACCACCUGGGGAGUACGGCCGCAAGGUUG